GAUGAACGCUGGCGGCGUGCCUAAUACAUGCAAGUCGAGCGAACGGACGAGAAGCUUGCUUCUCUGAUGUUAGCGGCGGACGGGUGAGUAACACGUGGAUAACCUACCUAUAAGACUGGGAUAACUUCGGGAAACCGGAGCUAAUACCGGAUGAUAUUUUGAACCGCAUGGUUCAAAAGUGAAAGACGGUCUUGCUGUCACUUAUAGAUGGAUCCGCGCUGCAUUAGCAAGUUGGUAAGGUAACGGCUUACCAAGGCAACGAUGCAUAGCCGACCUGAGAGGGUGAUCGGCCACACUGGAACUGAGACACGGUCCAGACUCCUACGGGAGGCAGCAGUAGGGAAUCUUCCGCAAUGGGCGAAAGCCUGACGGAGCAACGCCGCGUGAGUGAUGAAGGUCUUCGGAUCGUAAAACUCUGUUAUUAGGGAAGAACAUAUGUGUAAGUAACUGUGCACAUCUUGACGGUACCUAAUCAGAAAGCCACGGCUAACUACGUG
This 497-nucleotide ribosomal RNA is filed under the name uncultured bacterium. RNAcentral's name for it is "partial 16S ribosomal RNA". It matches the Rfam family "Bacterial small subunit ribosomal RNA", at positions 28 to 507 of the family's 1533-position model. The record is from RNAcentral.